This 494-nucleotide ribosomal RNA is filed under the name uncultured bacterium. RNAcentral's name for it is "partial 16S ribosomal RNA". It matches the Rfam family "Bacterial small subunit ribosomal RNA", at positions 29 to 507 of the family's 1533-position model. The record is from RNAcentral.
ACGAACGCUGGCGGCGUGCCUAAUACAUGCAAGUAGAACGCUGAAGGAGGAGCUUGCUCUUCUGGAUGAGUUGCGAACGGGUGAGUAACGCGUAGGUAACCUGCCUGGUAGCGGGGGAUAACUAUUGGAAACGAUAGCUAAUACCGCAUAACAGUAGAUGUUGCAUGACAUUUACUUAAAAGGUGCAAUUGCAUCACUACCAGAUGGACCUGCGUUGUAUUAGCUAGUUGGUGGGGUAACGGCUCACCAAGGCGACGAUACAUAGCCGACCUGAGAGGGUGAUCGGCCACACUGGGACUGAGACACGGCCCAGACUCCUACGGGAGGCAGCAGUAGGGAAUCUUCGGCAAUGGACGGAAGUCCGACCGAGCAACGCCGCGUGAGUGAAGAAGGUUUUCGGAUCGUAAAGCUCUGUUGUAAGAGAAGAACGAGUGUGAGAGUGGAAAGUUCACACUGUGACGGUAUCUUACCAGAAAGGGACGGCUAACUACGUG